Long non-coding RNA from Brassica napus (rape), 1360 nucleotides. RefSeq lists it as uncharacterized. The transcript has 5 exons. The record is from RefSeq and is a predicted model, not a curated record. Lineage: Eukaryota; Viridiplantae; Streptophyta; Magnoliopsida; Brassicales; Brassicaceae.
UGAGCACAAAGCCUAGCCUUGAAUUUCUGCAUCUUUGCUUCUUCUCCCCUAAACUUGAUCAAAAAAAAAGGGGAAAAUGAAGCUCGUCAGGUUCUUGAUUAAGUUGAAUAACGAUCGAGCUCAAGAACGGUACCCCGUCGUGUCGUCCCUGGCACUAUCACUGGUGUUGAUGUGAGCAUGAACACGCACUUUAAGAUUGUGGAACUGACUCUCAAGGGGAAGAACCCUGUCACUUCUCGAUCAUCUAAGCUAGAGUGGGGGAACAAUAUCCGCUACUACAUUCUCCUCGAUUGUUUGAACCUUGUGAGUUUACUUGUAGAGAACACUCCUAGGGGGAAGGCUAUUGGGCGUUGCAGAGGACGUGGUCGUGACAAAAGAGGUCGUUAGAUUUCUUUUGACAAAAAAAAAAAUAGCCUUUGUUUGGCUACUACUACUAUCUCCACUUGGACAAAAGUUAAGGAUUGUGCAACCGGGUUCCUGAUUGUAAACUGGUUCCCCUAUGUAACUGUAGGGGUUGCACGGGUAGGGAAAUGCGGAAGGCACGCCGUAUCCUUGAGGAGAUGGAUAACAGGGAGGAGGAGGAGGAGGAGGACAUGGAUUGCAUGGCGGCGGAGGACAUGGUUUACAUGGCGGUGGACAUGGUUUACAGGGCGCGGGCUUCUUCUCCUCUUCCUUCUUCUUGUCUCCAUCUUUCUUAUCGCCUUCCUUUUUGUCACCAUCUUUCUUAUCGCCAUCCUUUUUGUCCCCAUCCUUCUUCUCUUCUGGCUUCUUUGGAGGUUCGACUUUGCUCACGCUUACAAGCUCUGCAAAGGCUACCUUCUUUCUGAGCCUUUUGGUGAGGCCGAUCAUGUCAACUUCAGUACCAGUCACCUCUAUCUGGUUCCGGUGAUCGCCUUUUAUCUCCACGGCUGAGACACCUAUCAUAACACAAAAAGGUUAAAUCCAACAUAGGUGUUUGGUUACCUUUUUUUGGUGAGAAGGUCUUCUUACCCUUGAACUGAACUGCUUUUGUCAUAGCUUUUGCUCGGGUCUUGUCAUCAGUCAUAGUCACUCUAAACAGGAUCUUUUGCUGCGUGUGAUAAUGAUAAAUCUUAUAACGUCAAUCAAAGAAGCCAUAUAAACCCUUACACCAUAUUACUUGUUGUUGAGUACAUAUACUUACCUUCAUCUUCUUGUUUGCUUAAGAGGAUUGACUACAAGUCUUGAGUUCUGGGUCUCUUGUAGAAUACUACAAGUCUGAAGAAAUGUCUUUCCUAAUGGUGUAUUGUCUUCUGAUAUAUGAGUGAGUUGUUGACGAUCGUUAGGAUUUCGUUUUCAAUUCGUUGUUAACAAAAUUAUAUAAAAACCAGCUAGUUGCUUA